RNAcentral lists this transfer RNA (82 nucleotides) under Dreissena polymorpha. RNAcentral describes it as "transfer RNA serine (anticodon CGA)". It matches the Rfam family "tRNA". Rfam says of the family: Transfer RNA (tRNA) molecules are approximately 80 nucleotides in length. Their secondary structure includes four short double-helical elements and three loops (D, anti-codon, and T loops). Lineage: Eukaryota; Metazoa; Mollusca; Bivalvia; Myida; Dreissenidae. The record is from Rfam by way of RNAcentral.
GUCGUGGUGGCCGAGUGGUUAAGGCGUUUGACUCGAAAUCAAAUAGGCUCUGCACGCACAGGUUCGAAUCCUGUCCACGACG